AAUUUUAGAAUCACUCUAUUUGUCCAAUAACAAACUUAAAGGUAGAGUGCCACAUUGGUUGCAUGAAAUAUCGUUAUCUGAAUUGGACCUCUCUCAUAACCUAUUGACACAAUCAUUGCACCAAUUCUCGUGGAACCAACAACUCGGUUCCCUUGAUCUUAGUUUUAACUCAAUCACUGGUGACUUCUCUUCCUCAAUUUGCAAUGCAAGUGCAAUUGAGAUUCUCAACUUGUCUCACAACAAGUUGACAGGAACCAUUCCACAAUGCCUUGCAAACUCAUCAUCCCUUCUAGUUUUGGAUCUACAACUGAACAAGCUUCAUGGCACUUUGCCAAGUAUCUUUUCAAAGGACUGUCAGCUCAGAACUCUGGAUCUCAAUGGCAACCAAUUAUUAGAAGGUCUUUUGCCAGAAUCUAUAUCCAAUUGCAUUCAUCUGGAGGUUUUAGAUCUUGGAAACAAUCAAAUAAAGGAUGUGUUUCCCCAUUGGCUUCAAACUCUACCAGAAUUGAAAGUAUUGGUUUUGCGAGCCAACAAGUUGUACGGUCCCAUUGCCGGUUUAAAGAUCAAGGAUGGAUUCCCCAGUUUAGUCAUCUUUGAUGUCUCUUCCAACAACUUCAGCGGCCCAAUACCAAAAGCCUACAUACAAAAAUUUGAAGCGAUGAAGAACGUUGUUAUAGAUACCGAUCUGCAGUACAUGGAAAUUUCUUUUUCUUAUGGUGGAAACAAGUACAGUGAUUCUGUGACUAUAACAACAAAAGCAAUUACUAUGACAAUGGAUAGAAUUCGAAAUGACUUUGUAAGCAUUGAUUUAUCGCAAAACGGAUUUGAAGGAGAGAUUCCAAAUGCCAUUGGAGAGCUUCAUUCACUCAGAGGACUCAACCUUUCCCAUAACAGACUUAUUGGUCCUAUUCCCCAAUCCAUGGGAAAUUUGACAAACUUAGAAUCAUUGGAUCUCUCCUCAAAUAUGCUCACUGGUCGGAUACCUACAGAAUUAACCAAUUUGAACUUUCUUGAAGUGCUAAAUCUUUCCAAUAACCAUCUUGCGGGAGAAAUACCUCGAGGACAACAGUUCAAUACUUUUUCCAAUGAUUCCUACAAGGGAAACUUGGGGUUAUGUGGACUCCCAUUGACAACAGAAUGCAGCAAGGGCCCUGAACAACAUUCUCCACCUUCAACUACCUUGAGGAGAGAAGCAGGAUUUGGAUUUGGUUGGAAACCAGUGGCUAUAGGAUAUGGAUGUGGAGUGGUCUUUGGAGUGGGAAUGGGAUGUUGUGUAUUGUUAAUAGGAAAGCCUCAAUGGCUUGUGAGAAUGGUUGGAGGUAAACUCAAUAAAAAGGUGAAAAGGAAGACAAGGAUGAGAUCUAAUGAAAAUGGUAGCAGAAUGAAUUAGUUGAUAUAUGGCAUGACUGGAGAAUGUCUUGUUACAUACCUGCCAUCUUUGAAAACAAAACUUAAGGGCAAGAACUUGAUCACACUGCAUUGCAUGGGAGAUCUGGUUCAAAGUUUUGCUGUAAUAUGAAUGUGUUGUACUUUUGCUUUUUUGUGUGUUCUUCUUCGUUUGUUGUGUAGAAGAGUGCGAUGUAUUGAGUUGCAGUUUUGAUUUAUUUAAUACGUAUAACUGUGGCAUUAAUUGGUUGUAUAAUAAUAGAUGUUGUAUAUUUUUAAAAAUGCUAUGUAUUGGCCAAUGCUAAAAUAUCUUGUAUCUUAAUUCAAGAGCUGAAUUCACGGUUUUAGCUUCCAUUGUAGUUUAUUUAAUUAAUUUUCUAACUAUUUAAGCACCGUGACAUGGCUUUAGAAGCUGAGGUCGUCCAGGGCGUAAGUAUAAGAGCACAAACAAUGCAUACUAAAGGAAGGCUAUGGGUAUAGCCUAGGCCUCAUGGUCCGUAGGAUAUCACAUAUUUAUUUUUUAUUAAGUAAUUUUUCCCAAAUUAGAAUAAUUGUUUGGUGAAAAUUUUUCAAAAUUUGAAAUAAAAGUAGCAGUACUAAAAUCAGUUAUAAUUAAAUAUAAACUUUUUCUUUUUCAAUUACUAUUACGAUAAAUUGGUAGUGGUACGUGCUGUAAAUAUUACAUCUACUUAUAAUGUCAGCACCCAAAAAUUAUUUUUAUAAUGUAAAAUUUACAUUGUCAUUAAUUUGCUUUAUUAAUUUUUAUUAUAACUAUUUAAAAUUUAUAUUAUCAUCAUAAAAUCUGAAAAAUCGUAUCUAUAAUUUUUAAUAAGCGUAAAAUUUUGUAAUUUUUAUAAACUUUAGUAAAUAUUAAAAAAUAUAUAAUAUAAUGCUAGUAUUUUUCAAAAAAAUCAACAUUGUCCUUAAAUAAACCAGUGUGCUGUACAAUAAUUCACUUUUAUCAUUCAAAAGAAAAAUUAAAACUGUAAUUCAAAAUAAAAUAAGCAUGAGUGACUUUUAUAAUAAUGACCUUAAUGAUUAAAUAUAUUUAAUUUUAACAAAUACUUAAUUUAUUAAUAAUAUAUUUAAUUUUAACAACAUUCUAAAAAUAAGAUAAUAUCUUUUUUUAUGAAAAUAAUAUCUUAAAGAUUUGAGGAUAUAAAUUUGAAUUAUUUCUGAAUAAAAUCUUGGAUAUGCAAUUAAAUACUUGAAGAAAGAAUUGUAUCAUCCAUAAUAAUCAUAUUGAUUCAAACAAGAUUAUCUUCAAUGAAAUAUACCUAUUGUCAUGAUGAAAAACAUAAGAUGUAAGAUAUAUCUAACAAAAAGCAAAGUUAGACUUAUGUAGAUCAACCAACUAAUCCCUAUACCCACUCAUCACCUGAGCUCAGCCAAAACUCGCUUAAGCCCCAACUGUGCAUGGCUUAAGCUCUUAGCCAACACCACUUAUGCUACAUAAAAACAUGUUAGUUUGCUCAUUUGUUCUUUUCUUGCAGGAAAUCUCUCCAAGUUUGGGCUCACAUUCGUGAUUUGGCUCCUUUCCGCAGACGUUUCACUUCUUUACAGCGCAUUACUGACUCUUUAAUUAGGGGCAGAUCUACAUCAGAUGUUCAAGGAAAAUUACCCUAUAGCAAUUACAGUCUACUGCAUCAGGCUGUUUAGGAACAAGCUGAUUUUUGAAGAUUAUCAAUUUUCUGUACUAUAAGUUAUUAGCAAGAUUAAAUUUCUUAUGUAUCGACGAGCGCAUCUGUUGCAUUUGUUUUAUCAUCUUGAUAUAGGUCUUCUUGUAUUAGGAAGACUUUUGAUUUUUAACUGUCGGGUAUGCCCCGUUUAUUAUUGUAUCGUUUUGGGUUUAAUAUCAUUUACAUUUUCUCCAAAACAUGUUAGUUUUUGUGCCCAUUCUACCUUAAGCGCUACGCAAUUAAUACCACUUAAGCUACUUCAAACUAAUUUGCUCAAAUUAAAAAGAGUAGAUAUGCUACAUUAAAGAGUUUUAUUCCAUUCAAUAUCCCUUCAGAAAGUGAUUUCGCAUUGAAUGUUCCUUCUUUCUAAAAGUGAUCUCUCUCAAAGUGAUCUUUAAAACAAUGUAGAAUUUAUAAAAAAAAAAAAAAAAUUGCGUGUAAUGUGUUCCUUCUUUAACUAAGGGAUCUUUGAACAAUUUAAAAUUUUAUAAACAUUUACUAAUUCUUUUUCUGUCGAUCACCAUAGGCUUAGUAUUAGAAUUUCAAAUUUUAGAUGUGAAAGGACGAAAACUGCAAUGUGAAAAGUGAAAGUUGUUACGUGGAAGUAUAUAUAGUAAAAUGAAAAGAAAAAUCGGAAAGAACAAACUCCGUGUGAACAUCACUAAUUAAAGUUAAAGUUGGACUAAAUUAAAAGAACCAAUAAAAACAAAAGUAAGAUCACUAAUUAAAGUUAAAGUUAAACUAUUAAAAAGAACCAAUAGAAACAAAAGUAAGAGAAAUAAAAGUCAACAACAGCCUAGGUACCUCUCCAAAUACUUGCAAGCUUAAUAAAAUAAUGAAAAUCUAAUAAAAAAAAUGGAGGAAAUAGCCAACACACCUUCUAUAUAUGACCAUGCAUUGUUACAUCUCUACCACAAAAUAUGAAUAUCUAAUCUUAUUGGAAACGAUAUUAAUAAAUGAAAAGAUAAACAUCUCUUUUUAAACCUUAUACAUCAUUCACAUAAUUAUUUCAUGUAUCAUGUUUAACAUUUUUUAAUUUCAAUUUAUAUUUUCUUCUUCGUAAAUAUAAAGCCAUGUACACCCAUUAACAAAGUUCAUCUUGUUUACAGCUUCCUUUAAAAAAAACUGUUGUUUACAACUUAUUCUCCACAUUAAUUAUCUUAAUCUUUUUUUUCAAACAAAGCUCAAUCAAUUUUUCAUAUAAAAAUUAAUUCUAACUUUUAAUUUUAUUCUCAAUAUCAAACAAUCACAUCAAACACUUUAUAAUCAUCCACCAUAUUCCAACAAUAUCCAACUCCUAAAUUGUGACAGAUAUAAGUUUUCUAACUUACAAAUAUUUUAAUUUCUAAGUUAAAUUUGAAAAAUAUUAAUUUAAAAAUAACUUGUUUAAAUAAUAUAAUUGUGAAAAAUAUGUUAAUUUUAUACAUACGCUUUCAACAACUAUCUUAGAAUUAUGUAUUCUUUUUAAUUUAAUAUAACAUUUCUUUUUAAAUAUUUCUAACAUCUUGAAAUUAUAUCAUAUACAAUUAUAUUUUACAAAUAAUUUUAUAAAUGAUAUAAUUUUGAUAAAUGCAUUUUUUAUGUAUAAUUUCAACAAAUAUGUUAUUAUUUAAUUUUUUAUAGCUUAAGGUAAUAUUUAUAUUUUAAAUGUUUUUUCUUCGAAUUAUAUAUAUCAUAAACAAUUAUUUCUAGCGUUAUUUCAAAAUAAAUUUUGGGGAGCAAUUCCAUAAAGUAAGACAAAGGUUUUAGCUUGACAAUUGAAAAAAAUGCAUAAAAAAAGGGAUAUCCUGUGAAGUUCAAGACAAUACAAUUGAAAUGACAAUACUGAAGUGUGAGCACAACCUCGGUAGCAUGUUAUGAGAGGGUUAGAAAAUGAAAUAACAUUACUGAGGAUGAAACUACAAAACUCCAUUGUUUUUAAAACUCAUAAAUCCUUAUAGCUGAAUAGGGUUAAACAAAUUCAUCAAAAUCUCUAUCAUUCUUUUAUAGUAUCAAAUUUAAAUUAUUGUCCUAUUUUUAAGAUAACAAAUUAUUACUGUAAAAAAAGAUUAUAAAUUAUUAAAGAUAAAUUCAUAUAUAUAUAUAUAUAUAUAUAUAUAUAUAUAUAUAUAUAAUUAUAACCAAAUAACUAAAAUUAUUUUUUAUUAACAAAUCUUAUGAAAAAAAAUUAAUUCAAUGAGCUAGCUCACAAGCUAUUUCUGUCCGGCACACCCUAUUUCUUCAUUUGAAACAUUUUUUGUUUGAAUGGUUUAAAUUUAAAUAUGUUUUAAUUCUUGCUAAAAAAUUUAAUUUUGAUUUUUGUCCCUUUUCAAUUAUUGUUAACUUUUUGUCCUUAAUAAUUUUUUUUUUACUUUGGAUUUGUUUACAUAGGACUUUAGAAAAUGAAAUAAAAUUAUUUUUAAAGUUAUCUGAGAAAAAACAGAAAUAUUAUUAGAAACCAAAAAGUUAACAGAAAUUUAUCACAAAUAACAAAAACAAAAUUUAAAGAUUUAUCAAGAACUAAAAAUAUAUUUAAAACGGUUGUAACACAAAAGGAGAUGAAAAAUCAAUCAUUAUGCUAUUCUCCUUGAACAAGAGUUAUAAUUUCCAUCUAAUACUUCUUUUGGAUAUUGAAAUUAUUCGAUGAAACAACUUUAAAUUAAAUUUCAUAGAGCAACUCAGUCCAUACAAUGGAUUGUGUUUUACCUUGACAGUUGAAAAAAUGCAUUAAAAAGAAGGAUUUUCCGUGAAGGUUCAAGACAUUACAUGCAUGCUUAAUUUUAAAUGAUGAUGAUAUAUAUAGUAUAAGGUUAUUUGUUAUUUAUUUGAUGAGUUAACUUAAUAUUUAAUUCCAUCCACUCCACUACUUGCUAAAACUGACCACCCUCUUCCGAUUGACUCAAGGUUUACAAAAUUCGCUCCGUCAUGUUGUUCCAUUCCUAGAUGGUAUUUUAAAGGGAAAAAAUGGUUAAAUAAGGAUAUGACGUAUAAAAAUCAAAUAAAUCGAUCGUGUUUGCAGAAAAAAUGAGUUCCAAAGUCAAGUCAAUUUAAAUUGCAAUUGGGACAACAUUGAUAGUGUGAAAGGGUUAUAAAAUGUAUGUGUCAAUCUGCGUGAGGGAUGGGCUGUUAAGUGUUAAAGCUUAAUUUAGCCACAAAUUUUGCAUAUAGUGUUUUUAUUUUGCCUAUAAAUAUUAAUCUUUGGUUCGUGAUUCCUUGAUCUUUCAUGUAUAUUUUCUCUUAUAGUAAGGGCACGUAAACAGUUUUGGGUAGAAUAUGGAAUCAUGGAUGUGGUGUUUCCUUCUCUGUUCCCAUUUGCUCAUCCUUUAUUUUUCACCCUCUCAUUCCUUAUGCCACCCCCAUGACAGCUUUGCCUUGCUGCAGUUCAAAAACUCCUUCACUAUUAAUACUAGUUAUGACCAUUAUGAAUAUCCUUAUUAUUAUCAUAAAUGUGAUACUGGUUAUUCAAAAACGACAACAUGGGAAAUUGGAGGAGAUUGUUGCUCUUGGGCUGGAGUCACCUGCCACCCCAUCUCAGGCCACGUCACUCAGCUCGACCUCAGCUGCAGUGGCCUUGUCGGUAAUAUUCAUUCAAACAGUACGCUUUUCCAUCUUUCUCAUCUUCACUCACUCAACCUUGCUUUCAAUCAUUUUAAUCAUUCUCAUUUGUCAUCUCUCUUUGGUGGGUUUGUGAGCCUCACUCAUCUCAACUUGUCUUCUUCUGACUUUGAAGGGGAUAUUCCUUCCCAAAUCUCUCACCUUUCCAAAUUAGUCUCACUUGAUCUCUCAUAUAAUAUGUUAAAGUGGAAGGAAGACACUUGGAAGAGAUUGCUCCAAAAUGCAACAGUUUUAAGGGUGCUUCUUUUGGACGAAACAGAUAUGUCUUCCACUUCAAUCAGGACACUCAAUAUGUCUUCCUCUUUGGUUACUCUUAGUUUGAGAUGGACUUGGCUAAGAGGAAAGUUGACCGAUGGCAUUCUCUGUUUACCAAAUCUACAGCACCUAGAUCUUGCAUAUAAUUGGGACAUUCAAGGCCAGCUUCCAAAAGUGAGUUGCAGCACAGCUUCUCUUGGUUUCUUAGAUCUUUCAGGUUGUGGUUUGCAAGGGUCAAUCCCUCCCUCUUUCUCCAACCUCACACUUCUCACUUCCCUGGACCUCUCAAGUAACCACCUCAACGGUUCAAUCCCAUCCUCACUCUUAAUCCUUCCACGGCUAACCUUUCUGAAUCUAAACAAUAACCAACUCAGUGGUCAAAUCCCAGAUGUCUUUCAUCAGUCAAACAACUUUCACGAAUUGGAUUUGAGUAAUAACAAAAUAGAGGCUGAGCUGCCAUCAACGCUUUCAAAUCUUCAACAUCUCAUUCUCUUGGAUCUUUCACAUAAUAAAUUUAUUGGUCAAAUCCCAGAUGUGUUUGCCAGGCUAAACAAAUUGAAUACUCUCUAUCUUGGGGGAAACAAUUUUGGAGGACAAAUCCCAUCUUCAUUGUUUGGCUUAACUCAACUUUCUGAGUUGGAUUGUUCUAAUAAUAAAUUGGAGGGCCCUCUGCCUAACAAUAUCACAGGGUUUUCAAGCUUAACAUGGUUAAGGUUAUAUGGCAACUUACUGAAUGGGACAAUUCCAUCUUGGUGUUUAUCUUUGCCAUCUUUGACGACUUUAGAUCUAUCGGGAAACCAGUUCACAGGGCUGCCAGUGCAUCUAAGUACAAUCUCAUCAUAUUCCUUGGGGAUUCUAUAUUUGUCCUACAAUAAGCUGCAGGGAAACAUUCCAGAAUCAAUUUUCAGCCUUGUAAACCUUACUCUCUUAGAUCUAUCAUCAAAUAAUUUCAGUGGGUCUGUCCACUUUCGACUUUUCUCCAAGCUUCAAAUUUUGGAAAACCUUGACCUUUCACAGAAUGAUCAAUUAUCACUAAAUUUCAAAUCCAAUGUCAAUUAUAGUUUCUCCAGCUUAAGGAGUUUGGACUUAUCUUCUAUGGAUUUAACUGAAUUUCCGAAAUUAUCUGGAAAAGUCCCAAAUUUAAUGUUUAUCUAUUUGUCCAACAACAAACUUAAAGGUAGAGUGCCAAAUUGGUUGAAUGAAACGAGGUCGUGGUUACAUGAAUUGGACCUCUCUCAUAACCUAUUGACACAAUCAUGGGACCAAUUCUCAUGGAACCAACGACUCAAUUACCUUGAUCUUAGUUUUAACUCAAUCACUGGUGGCUUCUCUUCCUCAAUUUGCA
RNAcentral lists this long non-coding RNA (8259 nucleotides) under Glycine max (soybean). Its description in RNAcentral is "long non-coding RNA (GMAX_LNC003743)". Lineage: Eukaryota; Viridiplantae; Streptophyta; Magnoliopsida; Fabales; Fabaceae. The record is from RNAcentral.